UAGAGUUUGAUCCUGGCUCAGGAUGAACGCUAGCUACAGGCUUAACACAUGCAAGUCGAGGGGCAGCGGGAUUGAAGCUUGCUUCAAUUGCCGGCGACCGGCGCACGGGUGAGUAACGCGUAUCCAACCUUCCGUACACUCAGGGAUAGCCUUUCGAAAGAAAGAUUAAUACCUGAUGGUAUGAUGAGAUUGCAUGAUAGCAUCAUUAAAGAUUUAUCGGCGUACGAUGGGGAUGCGUUCCAUUAGGUAGUAGGCGGGGUAGCGGCCCACCUAGCCAACGAUGGAUAGGGGUUCUGAGAGGAAGGUCCCCCACAUUGGAACUGAGACACGGUCCAAACUCCUACGGGAGGCAGCAGUGAGGAAUAUUGGUCAAUGGACGAGAGUCUGAACCAGCCAAGUAGCGUGAAGGAUGAAGGUCCUACGGAUUGUAAACUUCUUUUAUAAGGGAAUAAACCCUCCCACGUGUGGGAGCUUGUAUGUACCUUAUGAAUAAGCAUCGGCUAACUCCGUGCCAGCAGCCGCGGUAAUACGGAGGAUGCGAGCGUUAUCCGGAUUUAUUGGGUUUAAAGGGAGCGCAGACGGGUCGUUAAGUCAGCUGUGAAAGUUUGGGGCUCAACCUUAAAAUUGCAGUUGAUACUGGCGUCCUUGAGUGCGGUUGAGGUGUGCGGAAUUCGUGGUGUAGCGGUGAAAUGCUUAGAUAUCACGAAGAACUCCGAUUGCGAAGGCAGCACACUAAUCCGUAACUGACGUUCAUGCUCGAAAGUGUGGGUAUCAAACAGGAUUAGAUACCCUGGUAGUCCACACGGUAAACGAUGGAUACUCGCUGUUGGCGAUAUACUGUCAGCGGCUUAGCGAAAGCGUUAAGUAUCCCACCUGGGGAGUACGCCGGCAACGGUGAAACUCAAAUGAAUUGACGGAAGGGCGAAU
This 927-nucleotide ribosomal RNA is filed under the name uncultured bacterium. Its description in RNAcentral is "bacterial SSU rRNA". It matches the Rfam family "Bacterial small subunit ribosomal RNA", at positions 1 to 926 of the family's 1533-position model. The record is from RNAcentral.